GAUGAACGCUGGCGGCGUGCCUAAUACAUGCAAGUCGAGCGAACAGAUGAGGAGCUUGCUCCUCUGACGUUAGCGGCGGACGGGUGAGUAACACGUGGAUAACCUACCUAUAAGACUGGGAUAACUUCGGGAAACCGGAGCUAAUACCGGAUAAUAUAUUGAACCGCAUGGUUCAAUAGUGAAAGACGGUUUUGCUGUCACUUAUAGAUGGAUCCGCGCCGCAUUUGCUAGUUGGUAAGGUAACGGCUUACCAAGGCGACGAUGCGUAGCCGACCUGAGAGGGUGAUCGGCCACACUGGAACUGAGACACGGUCCAGACUCCUACGGGAGGCAGCAGUAGGGAAUCUUCCGCAAUGGGCGAAAGCUUGACGGAGCAACGCCGCGUGAGUGAUGAAGGUCUUCGGAUCGUAAAACUCUGUUAUUAGGGAAGAACAAAUGUGUAAGUAACUAUGCACGUCUUGACGGUACCUAAUCAGAAAGCCACGGCUAACUACGUG
RNAcentral lists this ribosomal RNA (497 nucleotides) under uncultured bacterium. Its description in RNAcentral is "partial 16S ribosomal RNA". It matches the Rfam family "Bacterial small subunit ribosomal RNA", at positions 28 to 507 of the family's 1533-position model. The record is from RNAcentral.